UAAUUAUAACCGCGAAUCUGCGAAUGGCUCAUUAAAUCAGUUAUCGUUUAUUUGAUAGUACCUUACUACUUGGAUAACCGUGGUAAUUCUAGAGCUAAUACAUGCUUAAAACCCCGACUCACGGAGGGGUGUAUUUAUUAGAUUAAAAACCAAUGCCCUUCGGGGCUUUUUGGUGAUUCAUAAUAACUUCUCGAAUCGCAUGGCCUUGUGCCGGCGAUGGUUCAUUCAAAUUUCUGCCCUAUCAACUUUCGAUGGCAGGGUCUUGGCCUGCCAUGGUUACAACGGGUAACGGAGGGUUAGGGCUCGACCCCGGAGAAGGAGCCUGAGAAACGGCUACUACAUCCAAGGAAGGCAGCAGGCGCGCAAAUUACCCAAUCCCGAUACGGGGAGGUAGUGACAAUAAAUACUGAUACAGGGCUCUUUUGGGUCUUGUAAUUGGAAUGAGUACAAUUUAAAUCCCUUAACGAGGAACAAUUGGAGGGCAAGUCUGGUGCCAGCAGCCGCGGUAAUUCCAGCUCCAAUAGCGUAUAUUAAAGUUGUUGCAGUUAAAAAGCUCGUAGUUGAACCUUGGGCCUGGCUGGCCGGUCCGCCUCACCGCGUGCACUGGUUCGGCCGGGCCUUUCCCUCUGGGGAAUCCCAUGCCCUUCACUGGGUGUGGCGAGGAACCAGGACUUUUACUGUGAAAAAAUUAGAGUGUUCAAAGCAGGCCUAUGCUCGAAUACAUUAGCAUGGAAUAAUAGAAUAGGACGUGUGGUUCUAUUUUGUUGGUUUCUAGGACCGCCGUAAUGAUUAAUAGGGACAGUCGGGGGCAUCAGUAUUCAAUUGUCAGAGGUGAAAUUCUUGGAUUUAUUGAAGACUAACUACUGCGAAAGCAUUUGCCAAGGAUGUUUUCAUUAAUCAGGAACGAAAGUUAGGGGAUCGAAGACGAUCAGAUACCGUCGUAGUCUUAACCAUAAACUAUGCCGACUAGGGAUCGGACGAUGUUAUUUUUUGACUCGUUCGGCACCUUACGAGAAAUCAAAGUUUUUGGGUUCUGGGGGGGAGUAUGGUCGCAAGGCUGAAACUUAACGU
This 1071-nucleotide ribosomal RNA is filed under the name Hansfordia sp. XC-2012. Its description in RNAcentral is "SSU rRNA". It matches the Rfam family "Eukaryotic small subunit ribosomal RNA", at positions 70 to 1150 of the family's 1831-position model. The record is from RNAcentral. RNAcentral also lists the same sequence under 1 other name. Lineage: Eukaryota; Fungi; Ascomycota; Sordariomycetes; Xylariales.